RNAcentral lists this long non-coding RNA (1343 nucleotides) under Marmota monax (woodchuck). Lineage: Eukaryota; Metazoa; Chordata; Mammalia; Rodentia; Sciuridae. The record is from RNAcentral.
GUGCGUCUCGGGUCUGUGCAUGUCACCUCGGCGGCUCCCAUCUCGGCGCUCCUCAGUCUGUGGGACAGUGCUUGUCUAGCUCCUCUCAGUUCUUCUGAGCCAGCUCACCAUACUGGGCCUGGAUGUCCGCCACGACCUUGCUGAGGUCCUGAGGUCUGGGGGCCUCCACCUCCACAGUCAACCCAGAGCUGGCAAUCUGGGCUUGAAGGCCUUUGACUUCCUCUCAUGGUUCUUCUUCAUGAAGAGCAGCUCCUCCCUGAGAGUCUCAACUUCUGUCUCCAGCUGUAGCCAAGUGAUACUGGUGUUAUCAAUGGCCUUGCGGACCCCAUGAAUGUCACUCUCUAUAAACUGGCACAUUGCCAGCUCUGUCUCCUACUUGACUCUAAAGUCAGCAGCAGCAAGACAUGAUUGUCAAUCUGCAGAACAAUGUGCGCCUGGUCCCCAGAAUUUGCAAAGAUCUAACUCACAGCUCCUCGACGGUCUUGAAGUAAUGCCCUCACUCUCUGAUCUGGGGACCCUUGUUCUCCAGGUGUUCUCUGAUCUUGCCCUCCAGACUCCUCACUCUGUCCAGGUAGGAGGACAGGCAAUCAUUCAGGUCUUGCAUGGUCUCCUUCUCACUUUGGAUGUCACCCAGUCCCGCCAGACCCCUGGCCGUCCCUGCUGCUGGGCUCCUGGACACCCAGCUACCCUGGAAGCUGGUGGAAUGGGACACUGAGAUUUGGGAGCCUGAGCCUCCAGGGCCUGCCUAGAUGCUGGCCAUGCUGCUGGGGGGCUAGAUCCGGUGGCUGUGUGACCGAUGGACCCCAGGGAUUGGUAUUGGUGGAGAAUGUGCUAUCUGGUAGGAAGGGGAGAGACCAGGACUCAGGUUCAGGCUGCAGUUGUGGUGGUUUGCAAUCUAAGUUAUAUCCCCCGAGUCAGGAUUCUCUCUUUAUCUUUGGCUUUUGGUGGUUUGAUGAUGUGUCUUGGUGUAGGACCCUGAAUUCAUCCUACUUGAAGAAAUGGAGCUUCCUGGACAUGGACACUUAAGCCUUUCAUUAAACUGCGGUACUCUUGGUCAGUAUGAGCCUUAAGUUAUGUCAUCGAUGCCUCUUUGAAAGCUAGUCCACCCAAGGGUACUGAUGAAGACGACUGUGCUCACCUCUCAGGGAUCCAGACAGGAAACGCAGAGCGCAGUUGCUGAGACGAGGCACACAGUGCCUGGACCAUCACGGCUCACCAGGAAGGUGGACAGCCUCCCCUGGCUGCUGGGAGUGGGCAAUGGUGCAGACCGUGGGCAAGCAGAAACCCUGGGGUGCUCUCAGAGACCUUGCCGCAGUCUCAGGCGCAUCCCUGGUUGUGGAAAG